Chroicocephalus ridibundus (black-headed gull) is the source of this 624-nucleotide long non-coding RNA. RefSeq lists it as uncharacterized. The record is from RefSeq and is a predicted model, not a curated record. Lineage: Eukaryota; Metazoa; Chordata; Aves; Charadriiformes; Laridae. The transcript is spliced from 5 exons.
UGGGACUGGUGGACGUUUACUGGCUUUGAACAGGAGCUGCUGUGGGUGAAGCUUAAGAUGCUUGAAAAACGUGAAACAGCCAGAGAACAACAUCAAGGUGAUUGAGCCAGAAGGUGCUUCCUGCGGCAGGGAAGAGACAGCCAAGCAUUUCUGGGUGGAGGAUGGUCAAGUGACCAGCGCUGCAGAAGAGGAAGGGACAGAGAAAGAGAGAGGCACCUGAACUGGAAAAUUCUGUGGGCAGCGCUGAAAGCAGGAGCUGCGAAUGCCAGCUGCCAGCGUUUCUCCGUGGUCGCCCUUCCUUCUGCCAUGAUGGUACAGGACAGACGGAAAGAAUCCGGAGUGCUCUGCGAGUACGAGCGGUACUCGAAAACCUCACUGAGAUACUGGCAUCUGUCCUAAAGGCGAUUGAGGUCAAAGAGGAGACAUGGACAAAACGGGACAAACGGGCAUCGCCUCUCUGCGUUCUCCAGGCUUUGCCGUGAAGCAUCAGCAGCGUUUAACUCGUGACGGCGAAUCCUGUGGUUUUGGUUGUGGUUUUGGUGCCUCGUCGUAGGCGUCUCGUGCUGCUCGAGAGAUGCCCCAGCCCAGGUUUGCAGCCGGUGGCGGAGCCCCCCUGAGGAGAAG